This 450-nucleotide ribosomal RNA is filed under the name uncultured Mycoplasma sp. RNAcentral's name for it is "bacterial SSU rRNA". It matches the Rfam family "Bacterial small subunit ribosomal RNA", at positions 434 to 884 of the family's 1533-position model. Lineage: Bacteria; Bacillati; Mycoplasmatota; Mollicutes; Mycoplasmatales; Mycoplasmataceae. The record is from RNAcentral.
UAUUUAGGAAAAAAAGCUUGAGAGGAAAUGAUUAAGCCCUGAUUGUACUAAAUGAAUAAGUGACAGCUAACUAUGUGCCAGCAGCUGCGGUAAAACAUAGGUCACGAGCAUUAUCCGGAUUUAUUGGGCGUAAAGGAAGCGUAGGCGGACAAAUUGAUCUAUUGUUAAAGGCACUUGCUCAACGAGUUGUUUGUGAUAGAUAUCGUUUGUCUAGAAUUAGUUAGGAGAUACUGGAAUUCAAUGUGUAGCGGUGGAAUGCGUAGAUAUAUUGAGGAACACCAGAGGCUAAGGCGAGUAUCUAGGACAUAAUUGACGCUGAGGCUUGAAAGCGUGGGGAGCAAAUGGGAUUAGAUACCCCAGUAGUCCACGCCGUAAACGAUGGGUAUUAGGUAUUUGGUUUAGGACUGAGUGCUGUAGCUAACGCGUUAAAUACCCCGCCUGGGUAGUAUA